GACGAACGCUGGCGGCGUGCCUAACACAUGCAAGUCGAACGGAAAGGCCCUGCUUUUGUGGGGUCUUCGAGUGGAGAAAGGGUGAGUAACACGUGUGUAACCUGUCCCUGACUUCGGGAUACAUUCAGGAAAAUGGGGCUAUUACCGGAUAUGAGCUCCUGCUACAUGGUGGGGGUGGGAAAGUUGCGGCGGUUGGGGAUGGACUGGCGGUUCAUCAGCUUGUUGGUGGGGUGGUGGGUUAACAAGGCGUGGACGGGUAGCCGGCCUGGGAGGGUGACCGGCCACAUUGGGACUGGGGUGCGACCCGGAGUCCAACGUGAGGCAGCGGUGGAGAAUAGAGCACGAUGGGCCGAGGCCGGAUGCAGCGACGCCGCGUGCGGGAUGACGGCCUGCGGGUUGGAAACCGCGUUCGCCUGUAACGAAGCGUGAGUGACGGUAAUUGGUAAAGAAGCACCGGCUAACUACGUG
RNAcentral lists this ribosomal RNA (468 nucleotides) under uncultured bacterium. RNAcentral describes it as "partial 16S ribosomal RNA". It matches the Rfam family "Bacterial small subunit ribosomal RNA", at positions 28 to 507 of the family's 1533-position model. The record is from RNAcentral.